UGGAGCAAAAGAAGAUUAUUAUACCAAACGGAACCAAUAUGAACUGUGUAUAUAUUCUGUAAUAUGGAAGAAAUGUUAUUUCUGGGGAGGAGAGGAAAAAGGGUGCUGCCUGCAUAUUGUUUUAUAUAUGUUCACUUUUGGCAACAUAUUUGGUUUUUUGUUUUGUAAAGGGAUCAGGGAGAUCGGGCAUUGGUCUUUGUGCUACUUAGUAAGGCAUGUGAUAUCUGGUUUGUUGGGUUACGGGUGUUGUCAUGUUAUGUUGAUGACGCAUGACUUUGUAACAUCCUUGUGUAAGUUCCUGUGUUUGGUUUGACCACAUAUUGUGAUAAUUCCAAACUUUGUUAUUAAUAAUAUACUCUAUUUUAUUUGCUG
RNAcentral lists this long non-coding RNA (372 nucleotides) under Glycine max (soybean). RNAcentral describes it as "long non-coding RNA (GMAX_LNC002240)". Lineage: Eukaryota; Viridiplantae; Streptophyta; Magnoliopsida; Fabales; Fabaceae. The record is from RNAcentral.